This 73-nucleotide transfer RNA is filed under the name Stegodyphus mimosarum. It matches the Rfam family "tRNA". Rfam says of the family: Transfer RNA (tRNA) molecules are approximately 80 nucleotides in length. Their secondary structure includes four short double-helical elements and three loops (D, anti-codon, and T loops). Further hydrogen bonds mediate the characteristic L-shaped molecular structure. tRNAs have two regions of fundamental functional importance: the anti-codon, which is responsible for specific mRNA codon recognition, and the 3' end, to which the tRNAs corresponding amino acid is attached (by aminoacyl-tRNA synthetases). tRNAs cope with the degeneracy of the genetic code in two manners: having more than one tRNA (with a specific anti-codon) for a particular amino acid; and 'wobble' base-pairing, i.e. permitting non-standard base-pairing at the 3rd anti-codon position. Lineage: Eukaryota; Metazoa; Arthropoda; Arachnida; Araneae; Eresidae. The record is from Rfam by way of RNAcentral.
GUCCACGUGGCGUAACGGAUAAGGGGUUUGACUUCGAAACGGGAGAUUGAAGGUUCGAAUCCUGCCGUGGACU